AGUGAACGCUGGCGGUAGGCCUAACACAUGCAAGUCGAACGGCAGCACAGUAAGAGCUUGCUCUUACGGGUGGCGAGUGGCGGACGGGUGAGGAAUACAUCGGAAUCUACUUUUUCGUGGGGGAUAACGUAGGGAAACUGACGCUAAUACCGCAUACGACCUACGGGUGAAAGCAGGGGAUCUUCGGACCUUGCGCGAUUGAAUGAGCCGAUGUCGGAUUAGCUAGUUGGCGGGGUAAAGGCCCACCAAGGCGACGAUCCGUAGCUGGUCUGAGAGGAUGAUCAGCCACACUGGAACUGAGACACGGUCCAGACUCCUACGGGAGGCAGCAGUGGGGAAUAUUGGACAAUGGGCGCAAGCCUGAUCCAGCCAUACCGCGUGAGUGAAGAAGGCCUUCGGGUUGUAAAGCCCUUUUGUUGGGAAAGAAAAGCAGCAGGUUAAUACCCCGCUGUUCUGACGGUACCCAAAGAAUAAGCACCGGCUAACUUCGUG
RNAcentral lists this ribosomal RNA (492 nucleotides) under uncultured bacterium. RNAcentral describes it as "partial 16S ribosomal RNA". It matches the Rfam family "Bacterial small subunit ribosomal RNA", at positions 29 to 507 of the family's 1533-position model. The record is from RNAcentral.